RNAcentral lists this transfer RNA (72 nucleotides) under Capra hircus (goat). It matches the Rfam family "tRNA". From Rfam's summary of the family: Transfer RNA (tRNA) molecules are approximately 80 nucleotides in length. The record is from Rfam by way of RNAcentral. RNAcentral also lists the same sequence under 1 other name. Lineage: Eukaryota; Metazoa; Chordata; Mammalia; Artiodactyla; Bovidae.
UCCCUGGUGGCUCAGACAGUAAAGCUUCUGUUUGCAAUGCAGGAGACCUGGGUUCGAUUCCUGGGUUGGGAA